GACGAACGCUGGCGGCGUGCUUAACACAUGCAAGUCGAGCGGUAAGGCCCUUUCGGGGGUACACGAGCGGCGAACGGGUGAGUAACACGUGGGUGACCUGCCCUCAGCUCUGGGAUAAGCCUGGGAAACCGGGUCUAAUACUGGAUAUGACUCCAUGACGCAUGUUGUGGGGUGGAAAGCCUUGUGCGGCUGAGGAUGGGCCCGCGGCCUAUCAGCUUUGUUGGUGGGGUNAGGCCUACCAAGGCGACGACGGGUAGCCGGCCUGAGAGGGCGACCGGCCACACGUGGGACUGAGACACGGCCCAGACUCCUACGGGAGGCAGCAGUGGGGAAUCUUGCGCAAUGGGCGAAAGCCUGACGC
This 361-nucleotide ribosomal RNA is filed under the name uncultured bacterium. RNAcentral describes it as "bacterial SSU rRNA". It matches the Rfam family "Bacterial small subunit ribosomal RNA", at positions 28 to 389 of the family's 1533-position model. The record is from RNAcentral.